UAUGGAGAGUUUGAUCCUGGCUCAGGAUGAACGCUGGCGGCGUGCCUAAUACAUGCAAGUCGAGCGAACAGACAAGGAGCUUGCUCCUUUGACGUUAGCGGCGGACGGGUGAGUAACACGUGGGUAACCUACCUAUAAGACUGGGAUAACUUCGGGAAACCGGAGCUAAUACCGGAUAAUAUUUCGAACCGCAUGGUUCGAUAGUGAAAGAUGGUUUUGCUAUCACUUAUAGAUGGACCCGCGCCGUAUUAGCUAGUUGGUAAGGUAACGGCUUACCAAGGCGACGAUACGUAGCCGACCUGAGAGGGUGAUCGGCCACACUGGAACUGAGACACGGUCCAGACUCCUACGGGAGGCAGCAGUAGGGAAUCUUCCGCAAUGGGCGAAAGCCUGACGGAGCAACGCCGCGUGAGUGAUGAAGGUCUUCGGAUCGUAAAACUCUGUUAUUAGGGAAGAACAUACGUGUAAGUAACUAUGCACGUCUUGACGGUACCUAAUCAGAAAGCCACGGCUAACUACGUGCCAGCAGCCGCGGUAAUACGUAGGUGGCAAGCGUUAUCCGGAAUUAUUGGGCGUAAAGCGCGCGUAGGCGGUUUUUUAAGUCUGAUGUGAAAGCCCACGGCUCAACCGUGGAGGGUCAUUGGAAACUGGAAAACUUGAGUGCAGAAGAGGAAAGUGGAAUUCCAUGUGUAGCGGUGAAAUGCGCAGAGAUAUGGAGGAACACCAGUGGCGAAGGCGACUUUCUGGUCUGUAACUGACGCUGAUGUGCGAAAGCGUGGGGAUCAAACAGGAUUAGAUACCCUGGUAGUCCACGCCGUAAACGAUGAGUGCUAAGUGUUAGGGGGUUUCCGCCCCUUAGUGCUGCAGCUAACGCAUUAAGCACUCCGCCUGGGGAGUACGACCGCAAGGUUGAAACUCAAAGGAAUUGACGGGGACCCGCACAAGCGGUGGAGCAUGUGGUUUAAUUCGAAGCAACGCGAAGAACCUUACCAAAUCUUGACAUCCUUUGACAACUCUAGAGAUAGAGCCUUCCCCUUCGGGGGACAAAGUGACAGGUGGUGCAUGGUUGUCGUCAGCUCGUGUCGUGAGAUGUUGGGUUAAGUCCCGCAACGAGCGCAACCCUUAAGCUUAGUUGCCAUCAUUAAGUUGGGCACUCUAAGUUGACUGCCGGUGACAAACCGGAGGAAGGUGGGGAUGACGUCAAAUCAUCAUGCCCCUUAUGAUUUGGGCUACACACGUGCUACAAUGGACAAUACAAAGGGCAGCGAAACCGCGAGGUCAAGCAAAUCCCAUAAAGUUGUUCUCAGUUCGGAUUGUAGUCUGCAACUCGACUACAUGAAGCUGGAAUCGCUAGUAAUCGUAGAUCAGCAUGCUACGGUGAAUACGUUCCCGGGUCUUGUACACACCGCCCGUCACACCACGAGAGUUUGUAACACCCGAAGCCGGUGGAGUAACCAUUUGGAGCUAGCCGUCGAAGGUGGGACAAAUGAUUGGGGUGAAGUCGUAACAAGGUAGCCGUAUCGGAAGGUGCGGCUGGAUCACCUCCUU
RNAcentral lists this ribosomal RNA (1548 nucleotides) under Staphylococcus haemolyticus. RNAcentral's name for it is "bacterial SSU rRNA". It matches the Rfam family "Bacterial small subunit ribosomal RNA". The record is from RNAcentral. Lineage: Bacteria; Bacillati; Bacillota; Bacilli; Caryophanales; Staphylococcaceae.